This 107-nucleotide ribosomal RNA is filed under the name uncultured bacterium. RNAcentral describes it as "partial 16S ribosomal RNA". It matches the Rfam family "Bacterial small subunit ribosomal RNA", at positions 248 to 354 of the family's 1533-position model. The record is from RNAcentral.
GUUGGCGGGGUAACGGCCCACCAAGGCGACGAUCAGUAGCCGGCCUGAGAGGGUGAACGGCCACAUUGGGACUGAGACACGGCCCAAACUCCUACGGAAGGCAGCAG